Molecule: long non-coding RNA, 1005 nt
Organism: Cyprinus carpio carpio
Lineage: Eukaryota; Metazoa; Chordata; Actinopteri; Cypriniformes; Cyprinidae
Source: Ensembl
AGAUGUUUUGUUCACUAUAUAAUUAUGUUCAAUGGAAAGCGUAAUGGACUGGAAAGGAGGUUAAUUUGAUUAGAUUUCGCAUUUUAUUGGUAAUUAACUGAAGGUUUCAGAUGGGCAUGAUUGUUAAAAAAGAACGAAAGAACAAAAAACAAUAUUGAUAGCUGUAAACGCAUGUCAGGACUAAAAUAAACAAAAGCAACAUUACUGAAAUGAUGCAAUUAGUCAUCAGUGACAGCAACUCAUUACUCUAAUGGGACAAUCAGGGCGCUAGUGACUGUUUAAUAAUGGGACAACCAUGGACGCAAGUGUCUGUUUAAUCUAAAUGAUUUCCUCGUAGUUAAAAACACAAUAAGUUUGUUUGAUUAGACAAGCUCACUUUGUGCACCUCGGUGAUCACAUUAUCACAACAUACACUUCAUGAUAUUUGCAUAAAAAGGACAUUUUUAUCUUCUACAUAUCCUCUGCCCUGUCUUUCGCCCUCCCUUUUUCUUUCUGUGUCUACGUAUCUCUCAUAUCUAUGUGUUUUUGCAGCAUAAUAAAACAUACUCAUAGGGGAGAGACACAAAUAAGACAAAGUUUCAGUCUAAUUAAUAUGGAAGGCUUGGUGGCACAUCAGCUCUUCCCGAGUCUGCUUUGACUUUCUCUAUGUCAGUCCUUCCAACAGGAAGUUAAUGAUCCUGGCAACAAGAUGAAUCACUCCAGACAUGGUGCAGAGCAGUUCUGACAAGCCAGCGAGAUGGCUCCUGACACCUGCAUGUUAACUCACCUAUCAAUAAGAAACAAAGCAACCUCGGUGUCCGAUUCCAGGCCUUCCCGCUCCUUGAGUUUCUCCACCGCUGAAAAGUUGCUCCAAUAUUUACAUGGGUCCUACAUCUUGCCUGAUCGUAUCCCUUUUUUUUAAUGUUUUAUUCCUCCUAAAUUUUCAUUGUUUUUUAUGUGCCAUCUAUCGCUUUAUUUGAUCUGCUAAUAUCCGUCCUGUGCACUCACUGAGCGAUCUCUUCUCCC